GUGCCAGCAGCCGCGGUAAUACGAAGYUGYGCAAGCGUUACUCGGAAUUACUGGGCGUAAAGCGUGCGUMGGUGGUCGUUUAAGUCCGUUGUGAAAGCCCUGGGCUCAACCUGGGAACUGCAGUGGAUACUGGGCGACUAGAGUGUGGUAGAGGGUAGCGGAAUUCCUGGUGUAGCAGUGAAAUGCGUAKAGAUCAGGAGGAACAUCCAUGGCGAAGGCAGCUACCUGGACCAACACUGACACUGAGGCACGAAAGCGUGGGGAGCAAACAGGAUUAGAUACCCUGGUAGUCCACGCCCUAAACGAUGCGAACUGGAUGUUGGGUGCAAUUUGGCACGCAGUAUCGAAGCUAACGCGUUAAGUUCGCCGCCUGGGGAGUACGGUCGCAAGACUGAAACUCAAAGGAAUUGACGGGGGCCCGCACAAGCGGUGGAGUAUGUGGUUUAAUUCGAUGCAACGCGAAGAACCUUACCUGGCCUUGACAUGUCGAGAACUUUCCAGAGAUGGAUUGGUGCCUUCGGGAACUCGAACACAGGUGCUGCAUKGGCUGUCGUCAGCUCGUWGUCGUGAGAUGUUGGGGUUAAGUUCCCGCAAC
RNAcentral lists this ribosomal RNA (595 nucleotides) under uncultured Stenotrophomonas sp. RNAcentral describes it as "bacterial SSU rRNA". It matches the Rfam family "Bacterial small subunit ribosomal RNA", at positions 505 to 1093 of the family's 1533-position model. The record is from RNAcentral. Lineage: Bacteria; Pseudomonadati; Pseudomonadota; Gammaproteobacteria; Lysobacterales; Lysobacteraceae.